RNAcentral lists this small RNA (463 nucleotides) under Malus domestica (apple). RNAcentral describes it as "sRNA MD14G0105700". Lineage: Eukaryota; Viridiplantae; Streptophyta; Magnoliopsida; Rosales; Rosaceae. The record is from RNAcentral.
GCGCCCAGCCCUAAAUUCUAAUCCCUUUCUUUCUUUCUCUCUCCCCACUCUCGUACCCUCUCUCCCGACCCGCCGCGGCGCCUUUUGUUCUUCCUAGCCUCUCUCUCCUGUCGUCUGUUCUUCCAAAAAGCUCUAAUCCGACGGCCACGAUCUUCUUGUCCUCCAUUCGUACAACCACUUAUGUGCGGGCGCAUAUUCUCCGUCCACUUCCAGCCUCCAGGCAAGCCACUGUAAUUACAAGAUGGCUUUUGCUAUGCUGCAUAUGGAUUAUGGAGUAUACUGUAUUGCCUCGUCACUUAUGGUACCUUGAUAAAUGCAAAAAUUAAACAGACAGAAUAAAGUUACCAAUUAUUUUACGAGAGACCAUACCAACAAAUAGUAUGACUAUUUGGAAGCAGGGGUAUGGGUGUGAAUUAAAUUGGUGUACACAGAUUGGCUCUAAUAAAAUAUGAGUUUUGGGACU